ACGAACGCUGGCGGUGUGCUUCACACAUGCAAGUCGAACGGUAAGGCCCUUUCGGGGGUCCACGAGUGGCGAACGGGUGAGUAACACGUGAGUAACCUGCCCUCAUCUCUGGGAUAACAGUCGGAAACGGUUGCUAAUACUGGAUAUGAGCUUGCAAGGCAUCUUGUGGGUUGGAAAGAUUUUUUUUGGUUGGGGAUGGACUCGCGGCCUAUCAGCUUGUUGGUGAGGUAGUGGCUCACCAAGGCUUCGACGGGUAGCCGGCCUGAGAGGGCGACCGGCCACAUUGGGACUGAGAUACGGCCCAAACUCCUACGGGAGGCAGCAGUGGGGAAUAUUGCACAAUGGACGGAAGUCUGAUGCAGCAACGCCGCGUGCGGGAUGACGGCCUUCGGGUUGUAAACCGCUUUCAAUUGUGACGAAGCGUUUUUGUGACGGUAGCAGUAGAAGAAGCACCGGCUAACUACGUG
RNAcentral lists this ribosomal RNA (467 nucleotides) under uncultured bacterium. Its description in RNAcentral is "partial 16S ribosomal RNA". It matches the Rfam family "Bacterial small subunit ribosomal RNA", at positions 29 to 507 of the family's 1533-position model. The record is from RNAcentral.